This 416-nucleotide ribosomal RNA is filed under the name uncultured bacterium. RNAcentral describes it as "bacterial SSU rRNA". It matches the Rfam family "Bacterial small subunit ribosomal RNA", at positions 29 to 429 of the family's 1533-position model. The record is from RNAcentral.
AGCGAACGUUAGCGGCAGGCUUAACACAUGCAAGUCGAGCGAGAAAAGGGGCUUCGGCUCCGAGUAAAAGCGGCGGACGGGUGCGUAACACGUGGAUAAUCUGCCUCGUGGCGGGGGACAACAGUCCGAAAGGACUGCUAAUACCGCAUGUCAGGUCGGAAACUCCGGUUUCUGACGAAAAAGAGGGCGUCCGCAAGGAGCUCUCACCACGAGAUGAGUCCGCGUCCCAUCAGCUAGUUGGCGGUGUAAUGGACCACCAAGGCUUAGACGGGUAGCUGGUCUGAGAGGAUGACCAGCCACACUGGGACUGAGACACGGCCCAGACUCCUACGGGAGGCAGCAGUGGGGAAUAUUGGACAAUGGGCGAAAGCCUGAUCCAGCCAUGCCGCGUGAGUGAUGAAGGCCUCGGUCGUAAG